UGCACCGCGGUAAUAGGAGCCAGCGUACCGGCGUCCUUCCGCUAUUUUCAGCGGGUUCCUAGGGCGUACACUACCCUCCUCCCGCCGCCGCUGGCCCCAACCACUGCGCCCUCACGCCUCUGCUCGGAACCCCCUCCCGCAGAGGGGGGAGAGAGAGGGAGAGGGAUAGGGAGAGGGGGAACCGCACUAGGGCCGGAUCUCGUUGUCGCCGCCGCCGCCAGAGGGAGAUGAGGUAGUCAGGGGGAGGGAGGGAGGUGGCGGCGUUGGGAGGAUUGGGAGGCGGUGGCGGC
RNAcentral lists this long non-coding RNA (290 nucleotides) under Setaria viridis. RNAcentral's name for it is "long non-coding RNA (SVIR_LNC000608)". Lineage: Eukaryota; Viridiplantae; Streptophyta; Magnoliopsida; Poales; Poaceae. The record is from RNAcentral.